GACGAACGCUGGCGGCGUGCUUAACACAUGCAAGUCGAACGGAAAGGCCCUGCUUUUGUGGGUUGCUCGAGUGGCGAACGGGUGAGUAACACGUGAGUAACCUGCCCUUUACUUUGGGAUAACUUCAGGAAACUGGGGCUAAUACCGGAUAGUAGCUCCUGCUGCAUGGUGGGGGUGGGAUAGUUUCGGCGGUUGGGGAUGGACUCGCGGCUUAUCAGCUUGUUGGUGGGGUAGUGGCUUACCAAGGCUUUGACGGGUAGCCGGCCUGAGAGGGUGACCGGCGACAUUGGGACUGAGAUACGGCGCAGACGCGUGCGGGAGGCAGCAGGGGGGAAUAUUGCACAGUGGGCGGAAGCCUAAUGCAGCAACGCCGCGUGCGGGAUGACGGCCUUCGGGUUGUGAACCGCUUACGCCUGUGACGAAGCGUGAGUGACGGUAAUGGGUAAAGAAGCACCGGCUAACUACGUG
Molecule: ribosomal RNA, 468 nt
Filed under: uncultured bacterium
Lineage: Bacteria
Description: partial 16S ribosomal RNA
Rfam family: Bacterial small subunit ribosomal RNA
Source: RNAcentral